RNAcentral lists this long non-coding RNA (313 nucleotides) under Marmota monax (woodchuck). Lineage: Eukaryota; Metazoa; Chordata; Mammalia; Rodentia; Sciuridae. The record is from RNAcentral.
AACCACAGGAAAAACCUGGGAAUGCAACUUGGAGUCAUGCUUAUUCUAUAUCCUUAGGAAAUUGAGGUUGUACAAGAAAAGAAAACUAUUUUUCUUUAUCUUUUGGUAACUUUGCUUUGACACCUCUUUCCCUAGAAAUUUUCCCACAGAAAUUCUAGGACUGACUUUCAUUUGUAUAACUUGGAUGCAUUCCCGUCUCUGAACUGAUUAUUAUAAAUUACUGUUAGAUUUUUCUUACCCAUCUCUGAAUCUUAGGGGAGGGGUUAGCUGUUACUCAUAUGAACUGGAAAUAAGGGAAGAAAAUUGGGGUGGU